UUAUAAUAAAAUUGUCGUAAA
Caenorhabditis elegans is the source of this 21-nucleotide non-coding RNA. The record is from Ensembl. Lineage: Eukaryota; Metazoa; Nematoda; Chromadorea; Rhabditida; Rhabditidae.